GAUGAAGAACGCAGCGAAAUGCGAUAAGUAAUGUGAAUUGCAGAAUUCAGUGAAUCAUCGAAUCUUUGAACGCACCUUGCGCCCUUUGGACAUUCCGAAGGGCAUGCCUGUUUGAGUAUCAUGAACACCUCAACUCUCACGGCUUGUCCGUGAUGAGCUUGGACUUUGGGGGUCUUGCCGGCCUGUGGUCGGCUCCUCUCAAAUGGAUCAGCUUGCCAGUGUUUGGUGGCAUCACAGGUGUGAUAACUAUCUGCGCUUGUGGUUUUCCAUCAGAUAACCUUCAGUGAUAUGGAGGUUCGCUGGAGCUCACAAAUGUCUCUCCUUAGUGAGGACAGCUCUUUGAACGUUUGAUCUCAAAUCAGGUAGGACUACCCGCUGAACUUAAGCAUAUCAAUAAGCGGAGGG
This 405-nucleotide unclassified non-coding RNA is filed under the name soil metagenome. Its description in RNAcentral is "partial contains 5.8S ribosomal RNA, internal transcribed spacer 2, and large subunit ribosomal RNA". The stretch from base 1 to 121 matches the Rfam family "5.8S ribosomal RNA", at positions 35 to 154 of the family's 154-position model. The record is from RNAcentral.